RNAcentral lists this long non-coding RNA (2664 nucleotides) under Equus asinus (donkey). Its description in RNAcentral is "lncRNA (ENSEASG00005033222.1)". Lineage: Eukaryota; Metazoa; Chordata; Mammalia; Perissodactyla; Equidae. The record is from RNAcentral.
CCGGGGCGGGGCUAAGGGUAGGGGUGGCCCCUCGGUGGCAGCUCCGUGCGCCGCCCGGCCUGUCGCCCACACCGCGCGGUGCGCUCCGUCUGCGUGUUCGUCCACCUGGGCGCCCCUCUGCGGCCGAGUCCCAGCCCCGCACUCCGGGACCUGCCCGUGCUCCUCGCCUCCGCGGCCCCUUCGGCGGGGGAACCAGUACAGAGGACCCUCGCCCAGCGAAAAGCCCUCCCAGGCCUCGCGGAUAAGCGCCGGGCGGCGAGAGUGCCCCGGGGGUCCCGCUGACCCAGCGCAGCACAGGGCAGCCGCCGGCCCCGCUCUCGUCCUCGGGACCACCCCACCACCAGCACCACGUGCGCAGCGGGUCCAGCCCCAAGGUUUCCUGGAUGUCCCCGAGUCCUCGCCUGCGCCUGGCGAUCAGUGCCUCUGCCAGGCCCAGAGGUGGCUGGAAGAGGCUGCUCCCUAGCAGAAGACGUCAUUCCGAUGUGGUGUGCCCAGAAGAUGCAGAGGGUGAGGAGAGCGGCUCAGGAACUCAUGCUACCUGGCAGCCCUGGCCGCGGGCGUGUCCCUGGUUUCCCGGUGGUUCCCCAACCUCCGGAAAGGAGAGAACCAGUCCCCCGGCCCCUCCCGCCCACCAGGAUUCCGUCUGUAAGACGGAAGCCAGGAGAUGGCCAGGAAGGACAACCUGAACGCAGGCAAGUGGAGUGUCUUGACCCAGUAACAGACAUCAGAGGCCACCCAUCCAGGCGGAAAGCCAUCUCCAGUGGAGGGCCGAUCAGGGGCCAUCUGCGAGGGCAGGUUGCUCCUUCUGUCCGAGGCGGGCUUGGAAAGGUCUGUGCAGGACGGUGCCAAGGCCUGGCCAGGGUUUGGAGCCAUUCAGAGCGCAGGCCCCUAACGGGUCACUGGGCCAAGGUGCUUGCGGGCUUGUGGCCUGAAGACCUUUGUCCUGGGACCGACACCAGCCUGGUGUCCUGGUGGCAUACCACUUGGGGACCCUUCUUCUUCUGGCUCAGAGGGAGCAAAGGCUGCGUGCGUUAGAACAACAGAACGACGAGAAGUGGGAAGACCUGUCCGUGGACAUCCAACUUAUGGAGGAAGGCACGCCGGACUCCGAGGGGAAGCUGGAAUUGACCAAAACAGCUCUUAACACUUUCGGGGAAAUUAGUGAAAUCUGUCUAAGGGAGUGUCUGAGCUGAAGGAGUCCCUGAAACUGUGUGCAGAAGAAAUCAAAGCUGGAAAACCUGCUUGUCAUCUUGGAAGGACACGCUUUAAAGAACUUGCCAGAGGACCAGGGCUCCCUGGACGUGGCCUGAGAUGAGGGCAGGGAGAGGGGACACCAAGGCUCCAGGUGCACCUCCUCCUGGGCGGUGGGCCCCUCAGCUCCUGGGCCUGUGGCUGGAGCUCAGGCGUCAUCCCCCAGGACUCCCCAAGGGAGCCCAGGCGGAGGGCGGCGAGCCGAGGACGGGCCAGCUCUGCCGAUGGGCUGUACCGACGUGAGUGCUGACGGAUCCAGGCUUUGAGAGGAGGCCAGCACUGCACCCAAGCGCCCCCGGAGAAAAGGAGCAUGGGAGACCACCAUGUGUGCAGGGUCCUUGGGCGGAGGCCUCGCCUCCCCUCCAACGGGUCACCUUCGACGCUUUGCAGGGAGCCCUGUGUUGCUGGUACAGGGAAGCCGGACCUCCUAGGACCGAGGGCCCCAGAACGAACAUCUAAAUGGAAAAUCCACUCCCUUCUCCACACGUCUGGAAGAGUGAAGACUUUCGUUGGGGUCAUGGUGCAGGCGCUGUGGGCAGACUGGGCGCCACACUUGCUAGUGACAGAAUCAGCCAAGUUUCUAGACGUUUUGAUUCCUUUCCCCUUCUGUUGUCAGUAUUCAUAUGCACAUGGCUUCCAUUUAUUUUUCAGGACAAACCAGUUAUUAAUGGAAACAACCUUGGCAGCCGGAGCAAGUGUCCUGACGUGUUGGGUUAUCAUUUUAUGCACCAGGGCACAACUGGCUGAGCACGGGCCCAGGAGGUCUGCUCAUGCCCCUCCCUGGUCCCCACUGACCCUCUGGGUCUCGUCUAAUGGGGGUCACCCUGGAUUUGCAUCCUCCAAGAUGCAGCAAGACCUUCUGUGACUUUAGCACAGAAUUCUAAGCACGGGGCCAUCUUGGCCACAGCUGGAGUGAUUGACAAGCACAGUCCCACAGGGGAAAGGAGAGAACAGAACACCCACCUCCCUUCUCCUUAUGUCAGACCAUGCGGCAGGCCAAGGUCGCAAGGCCCCACGUCGUGUCUGAGGUGCUCCAUCCAGAGUCUGUCCUGAGGACUCGGAGAUGAUCUCACAUCACAAGUCCCUCGUAUUUUAUUUUACAACAAAUGAUAAUAUCACCAGGCCAGCUGCACCUUCCCAAAGGCUGGCCACUGCCCACUUGGUGUCCUCUUCAGUCCUCGUGUCCUCGUCCACUGCCUGGGUGGAGCUCCCUGCGCAGGAAGUCCACUGCGUCUGAUGGGAGGCCGGCCUCUCCGAGGUGCAGGGGGCAAGUCCUCUGUCCAGCUCAAGCCGGAAGUUCUUAGGGACAGUCCUGCUCACUCGAGGUGAAGCUCUGGUUGACUACGCUGAAGUCUAAACCGAAAACGUGUGCCGGCCACGUAGGGAAGCAGUGUCGCCUGAUCUCGAUUCCCC